AGAUUGAACGCUGGCGGCAUGCCUAACACAUGCAAGUCGAGCGGCAGCGCGGGGGCAACCCUGGCGGCGAGCGGCGGACGGGUGAGUAAGGCAUCGGAAUCUGCCCUGAUGUGGGGGAGUAACGUAGGGAAACUUACGCUAAUACCGCAUACGACCGAGAGGUGAAAGCGGGGGAGUCGUAAGACCUCGCGCUGGUGGAUGAGCCUACGUCCGAUUAGUUAGUUGGUGGGGUAAAGGGACCUACCAAGGCUACGAUCGGUAGGCUGGUCUGAGAGGACGACCAGCCACACUGGGACGUGAGACACGGCCCACGACUCCUACGGGAGGCAGC
Molecule: ribosomal RNA, 331 nt
Filed under: uncultured prokaryote
Description: bacterial SSU rRNA
Rfam family: Bacterial small subunit ribosomal RNA
Source: RNAcentral